This is a non-coding RNA of Cinara cedri, 12184 nucleotides long. The record is from the annotation of a GenBank genome assembly. Lineage: Eukaryota; Metazoa; Arthropoda; Insecta; Hemiptera; Aphididae.
CGUAAGUUUGCGACGUUUUUUUUUUUUUUCAGUUUCCCGUUCGGUCAUACGCGCAAAAUAUAACGAAAACCAUACUGAGGAAUAACUACGGUCCGCAUAACAAUGUCUCGAAAAUAAUCGACGAAAUUUAUUUUACCGAGCCCGUGCAUUAAUACUCGUAUUACGUUAUUAAUUUCACGAAUAACGCGCCAUCGAGUAAGUAACAGCUCUGUCAUAUUAUAUUUUAUUUUAUAUAGGUGGUCUUUGUCGGAUCCGCAAAUCAAUAUUGUUAAUUAAUAAAUACACGCUGGCAUCAUCGGCUAUCAAUAAUAAUAACAACAUUAACAAUAGCAAUAGGCAAUAACAAAACGAAAAGUUUAGAAAUCGUAUGAGAACUAAAGAUUCGCAGUGGUACUCGAAUCGCACUCGUAUCCCACGAGAAAAUGAAUGUCUGCCGUACACAUACGCUAUUACGUACUAUUUAUUGUAUCGGAAGAGAUUUUUUUUUUUUUUUUAUACUCGGUGCGACAGCCCAAAAUACCACCUUUCGUCCCGGGGAUGAAGAGCUUCACUCAAUGUUCGGAACUUUUUAAUCCAUUUACAUUUUUCCUGAAAUAGUACAGGCGUGUGUUUAAUCUAACGCGUGUUAUAACACGGACUGUUAAAACAUCUAAAGUCGCCUACGGUUUAUUUCGGCAACAACCGCAUAAUUUGUUCACAUUUAUUGUAUAGCGGUUUUCGCCAUUAUAACGUAUCGUUUAGCAAUUCUCAGAGUUCGAUUUGCUUGUACUGCAAACUACACAACAUCGACUUAAGCCUCUCUUCCCUGACACCAAAGACAUAUUAUACGGGAUGGUUUGUUUUAUCGUGAUCCGCGUUCAAUUGUCCUAAACACUAUCCUAAAAACACGCCUGAACUGCAGUCAUAGCACACAAACGGUAAAUCAAACAUUUAUAAUGUCAUAUAUUCUAUCAAAUUCGUUUAGUAAAAUAUUUUGAUUUGGUUUUUUUUUUUUCUCGAAUCCGUGUUGAAAACGAUGGGGAUAGGGUCGGUCGCCAUUCCAAAAUCAAUAUCUCACACUCGUUUAAAGUAUAAGCAAUAGCGGUAAGAAUUUCAAGACGAUAAUAUUAAAACAAAGUCUACAUGAAAUUUACCGGGAAAAUAUAACUGGAUCGCGAUAAAGGAAUCGCAUUGAAUACACGGAUAUCGAUCUAAGAGCGUAGUGUACACCGUGUUGUUUUUACGUUACGGGUAUUAUGAUACUGACAAGGGUACCCCGAUAAAUUAACAAUAUUUUAUCAAAUGAUAUUUCCUGCAACGCGUUUGCCGUUUAUAAUAACGUAUUGUUUUCAACGGGCUUAUAAGUGUUGUGAAAAAAAAAAAAAAAACAGAGUACGAAUGUGCCAAGUAUAUAAUAAAAUGAAACGAAUGAUGAUCUAAAAUAAAUAACUGCGCGUAUAAUAUUUCUCGUUUUUUUUUUUAUUUUAUAUAAAUUUUAUAUAAUUGCGUAAUUUAUAACAAUAAAAAAUAAUAAUAUCUAUUAAAAAACCAUUAAACUGUAAGUUAAUAAUUUUUUUUUAGCGUGCGCACAUAACAUAUAUUAUAAAUGGUAAUAAUAAAAAUAGAAAUAUAUGAUGAUGACUGAAUAUUAUUAUUACGCGCGAUUGUCGUUGCAGUACCCUGCUAUGAACUUGGCCUUCCUCGCUCGCGUUACACUGCAGCAGGAUGUUUCGUUUAACGGCGUUAUUACUGUACAUUUACGACAUUUCGUUUGUGCUACAGGUGCCUAACCUUUAUAAUACCUUUAUUAUAUUUUCGCACUUGAUUCGUUUUUUUUUCGUAUAUUUCGCGGUACACGGGUUCGUUAUGAUCACGUAAACAAAAGAGAUGAUACGCGCACGUGCGUUUGCAACGAAACACACGAUUCGAAAUAAUAUUGUCCGCGCUCGUUGCACAGCAUACGGUAAUCCCUCGUUAUCCUAUGUCGAGUCGGCAAUGCCUUUCAUUUAAUAAUCCGUACAUUUCGUCGCUAUCGCGUGCGAACGCUGCGAUUUGUUUUAGAUAAAAUUAGAUCGUUUUUAUGCGCAACUACGCAUAAUAUAAAUACCACACCUUUAGUGACGAAUACCGCGUAAAGUACACCGCGCACGUACGUUGCAGCUUUAAAGGCCUAUUGCGUACGGAGAGCUUCGCAAAAACAUAGUAUUGAGAAUAAAAGGAAACAGACACCUGUCGGUUUUUUUUUUUCCUUUCUAAUAUAAUUUAUGUAAGUGCGUGUAAAUAGUUAAUUGUGUAAAUUAAAACUAAUUUAUACAAAAUGAAAAGAAAAAUAUCAGUGUUUUUGAAAUUCAAAUAAUAAAACCUAACCUCCUAUCUACAUUGAUUUACGGUCUCGUUAUCCGCGGUUUUAUUAUCCGCGCAACUUUGCCGGAACCUAACCUCCGCGGUUCACGAGAGAUUUCUGUAUUCUAUACGGCCAUUUGUAUAGAUUUUCCCGUCGAUCUCGAACGGAGGUUUAUUUAGAUUUUGUACGGAACAAAAAUAAAAUUUACCUAGAUAGCUUGUUUUUUUCUUUCGGAUAAUAUAUUUGUAUUCGGUUAGUAAUAUCGCUAAAAAUGUUUCGUAUCAUGCAGUUUUAAACGAUGCGGAUUUUUCGCCCUAUAGUAAUUUAUUUGAACAAUUUGUCUACAACCACCCGGAAAUCUAUCAAAAAACUUAAAAACACUCUGGUAAUACAAUUACGAUAAUACUGCAUAGGUUUUAAUUUUUUCGAUUUCUGUAAGGUUACUUUGGUUACAGGGGAAAAAGCACGACCAGUCCACUGAACUCCGCACAGAAUUGUGUUUCGAUCAUAAUGAUUUAUUGUUGCUUAUAGUAUAAGUAUAUGUAAUAAACUUAAUAUUACCCUACCUUCUUAACUCCUUACGCACAACAAUGGCCUAUUCAUGGUGUAAAGUAUGUAAGACUUUUAAAUUCUACGCACAACAUAUGUGUUAUUAUGUAUGAUUGUUUUCCGUAUGUGUACCUAUGAAAACCUUUACGACCAGAAAUCGUAUAGUCCAAUCAAAUAAUGACGAGAGUACAUUUUAUGCGGAUAAAAUUGUUUUGGCUAGAACAGAAAUGCUUGAUUGACAAAUUUAACUUGAAGAGCGUUAUAAAUUAGAAGUUUUAUUUAUAUAUUGGUUAAAAAUAAAGUCGAACGUAAUGUAAUAGGGUUUUCUGUAAGCGUUUUAAAUUCAAAUUUUUAACAAAAAUCAUAAGUAUUUCAAUACAGGUAUAACUGAACUUUGCUCAGAAUCGCAUUUUGUCAGCAAUGAUUUAUCUUUGCGUACAUACACAAAUUAAAUGACCUUAUGCAUCCUACCUUCUCGACUUCCCAUCUACAACGGUGGCGUAUCCAUUAGCAAUAUCAGCUCUUUAUUUUAAAUUGCGAUUUAGUAAUACAAUAAGUUUCGUAUACAUUGAAACGAUCGAUUCAUUGUUAUAAGACGUUUUCCGGUUUAGAAAAGCGGAAUUGAUCGAAAUCGCGCUAAUACAGGCAAGACGAUCCGUCAUCACGCGACGAUUUCUAUUAUCUAUAAAAUAAUUCCUGUUCUUUACACUUAUGCAAUUACCACAUAUUACUAUGUUUAUUGUGUAUACCUAACACUUGUUUUACGUUGUGUAAUGUAUCGGAAUAAAUGAAAAAAAAAAAUAAUAAUAAUAAUAAAAUAAAAGCCUACAGCGUUCGGCGGUAAACAUAAUUUAAUGUUCUUAUUUUGUUUUCAGCCAUCACUCUAAUCGUAUUACGUUUCCAAAAUGUAUAUUAUAUAAUGAACACAAGCGUGCACUGAUCUUACUGAUAGCAACCGGUAGGCAGAGGCAGAGUUCUUUUUGUAAUCGAUCCGUACGCGGAGUCAAGGACUAAAUUGGACGGCUACAUAGAUCACGAGUGCAAAAAAAAUAUCUAUUCAACGCACCAUAAGCGCGAAUAAGUUGUACCAAUAGUAAAAGGUGUUUGAUUAAAAUUUGUUAAGUUAUUAUUAUUUAAGAUUUCGCAUUAAUAUUCGAAUAAAUACAUUAAAACUUGAUAUUUGUAGCCCGCGGUUUUUAAGCAGUGCAAUCUGGAAAUGCUUUUAUAUUGACGAUGACUUUAGGCGCUGUGAUUCGUAGUUUUUCGUACAUUUUACUGCAGUUUUAAGUAAACUUCUGAUUGGUGUUCUUUAAUUACUUCAAUACAAUUGUAAAUUGUUGGGUUUGGAUUAUGAAAUUGAUCUUUCAAUUGACGGUGAUACGAUUCUGGAUCAUUGGUGGUAGUCCUUGGCUCGUUCGAGGGUCAGAAAUCAGAAAUCGCUUGUAUAUUUAUGUUUUCAGGAGCAAUAGAAAAUGGUUCAUAAAAUGCAUCGGAAAUUUCAGUAGAAAGCAAAAAAAGUUAUCCGAAGAAAUUUUUUAACCAAUGUAAAAUUUCAAAUUGAUUUUCGUCGUAUUCAAUUUUAAGUCCCAAUUUUUCAAGCUAUUCCGAGGGAUAAGGCAACAUUUAAUUUGUAUAUUUUUUAAAACUCCAUUAUAAACGAAUAAUUCGAAAUCCAAAAUUAAAUUAACAAGAUAAAAAUAUUAGUUUUACGCUUUUAUCCCACUACUAAGGCACAAAAGAGCAAAUUAGUUUUGCGCUUUUGGGUUAUCGAAAAAUAUUGACGAUUUGAGCAUUUCGGUUUUAUCUAAUUGGACGUUAUAUAUAAAAACAAACACGUUCUGUUUUUUCCAUUUACGUUAAAGAAAGUGAUUGACACAAGUAUAAUACCUUUAACUAAGUAUACAAAAAAACAUACCACAACAAUAAUUUUCUUUAAGCCGUGGAAAAAAUACAUUACAAUAACUGAAUAUUAUAAUAAUAGUCUUCAAUCAAUAAUAAAAAAGAAAAUUUGAAUUUGAAAAUUUUUUUUUCUUUUAUGUUAACAACAAUUUAAAACAUUAAAAAAUGCUAUAUGCUAUAUGGUUGUUCUAAACAGUAGCGUAUUUAGGAUUUUUCCAAGGAGGGAGAUAUUGAAUUUGAUAAUUGUGUUAUAUUGUAGAACGUGUACCCAGACUAAAAAAAAGAUCAAUUUUUGAUUUAUAAUUUUUUUUAAGUAACUUACAAUUCUAUGUAUACCUAGAAGAUAUUAAGUAAUUAUUAUUAAUUGAUUUACGAUUUAUAGAUAUUAAUAUAAUCUCCGUCAUAUUUGUGUGAAUAUAAUUGGUUUUGUUUUAAACAAAAAAAUGUAUAAUAGAUACGUUCAGGCUUUUUGAUAAAUUAAAAAUAUUAACUACAAUAUGUAUAAGUACCGACACAUCAAUUUUUUUAUUUUUCAGUCUGAAAAGCAAAAAAAAAUUGAAUUAAAAUUGGUAUGUUAAUAAUAGUUUAAUUAUAUACUUUCUUUAAUAAUAUUUGUUUAAUAUUGCCCCUAUUUUCCCGGUUUUUAUCAUUUAUUUGGAAAACUCUUUGGAAAAUCAAAAAGCGAUCUUCCAAAAGUACCUCCCCAGUCAGAUUUCCUUUUAUAACGAGUGCUAUCAUUGUAAACUGGAACGAAAUUUCUGUUAGAGAAAAUGUCCAUAGAAAAAAUAAAAUAAAAUAAACAUCAUUGUAAAACCAAUACAUUCCUCGCUCCAUUCAGAAUCUAAAAAACGUCUGCAAUGACUCGGAGAAUUUACAAGAGAACGAAAUAUGAAUGAAAAUGUCGAAUCCACUGUACGCGGACGAAAUCUCCGCGAAGGCGCCCCCGGUAAGUGUGCGCCACUCGAGUUCAGUUUAAAUAAUUAUAUUAUUGGAAAGUCAUUCCCGAUUUCACAGCCGCCGGUCAGUGGUUUGUUUGGUUUUUUUUUUUUUUAACUUCCUAUUUGUAUAUUUCGCGUAUUAUUCAAAAUCCCUCGGAGCCGAUACACUGUUCAAAUGGUUUUGUUAAGAAUAAUAAUCGAACACAAACAUUGAUUACCUACAAUAUUAUACUUGCGCCGAUCUAUAGAAACCGUCAAUAGGAUUUUGGUGCGGCAUAAAUUUUAUUUUUUCCUUUUUAUUAUUAUUAUUAUUCGGCAGAUGAAACAGCAAAAAAUUGUCCGCGACAAUACGAGAAAAAAAAGUAACCAACGAUUUUUAUGACUCUGUGUUGAAUCUCGGUAGAUAAAUACGCUCGAAAUUUGAAACCAUAAUACACUGUGUCACACGAACUCUUCUUUUUUCGCUUUGCACGGCUCAUCAACACAGCCUUUUGUAUAACCCCUCCGAAAUUCUGCAUCUUGAAUUCUUGCGCAUAAUCUUCUCGAAUCGUCAUGACAGGCCGACCCGCAAAUCAUCUUUUAUACCUUAUCCAUUUCCAUCGCUUCCGUCGCCUGCGUCUUGGUCCCUCGGUACCAAUUGGUUCCGGCUGAUCUCUGCCUUUGUUUUUGGAAUUUCUAUGAAACGUGUUGUCCGUGCGGAACCCUUCUUCUGCGCUCGGUUCUCCGCGGACACGAGAGGCUAGGGGGCAAUGCCGUAAUUAACACUACCCUAUAGGGGAUACUUUAAUUAAAAUAGUACGGUAAGCACUGCCCCCACGGAACAAUACCGCAUUCGGUAUCAGAUAGAUUUUGAUCACACCGCCCACGAAUAAUUCCUGGAUCCGUACACGCGCCGUACAAGGUCGUAUCCGUUUCUUUCCGCGUGUCUGAAAUACAUCCGCAUGGUUUUCGAAAGGCCCGCCGGGGUAUUUUCGUUCGUCCCGAAAAAUUAUAACUCGACCGAUUCGGAGCGCGCCUUAAACAAUGCGAGUGCCGAAAUUAAAAAAAAACAAUAUCUACGGCUUUAUCUACGGUUUUAUUAUCAACCGCCCAUACAAUAUUAUAUUAAUAUUUAAUACCAUACAUAUUAUAAUCGUUAUUAUGGUAACAACGACAACUGCUCUUAUUGGAUAUUAUGUUUUCGCAUUGACCGCGCGGUCGUUACACACGAUAAUGAUCCGUUCGGUGGACUUUUUUUUUUUUUUUCGAACGCACAAUACAAAAAAUACAGUACUUAAUAUACUUUGCCUAUAAGUCGAUUUAAUAAUAUGAUGAAAUAAUCUACGCGUUUACGCAUCCGCGGUGCUACAGUAGCGUUUUUUGUGUUCGCUCGUGCACGUAGAAAAAUAAUUAUAACCGUCUUCCAAAAAAAAAAAUAAUAAUAAUAAUAAUAAAAAUAAAAAUGAUGGUUAUUUCGUAUCGAAUUCCAAGGUCGAACUUAUUACUUUUUUUCAGACUGUUCAGCUGUGGAGAGUAUACCAGGUACAUAAUAAUGUUAUGCAAAACGAAGAGAAAAGGUCAAAUAUUGACGUUGAAAAGUAGAAAUGUUUUUUUUUUAUAUUGUUAUUUCCCUUGCACGAGUUAUUAUCAUUAUUAUUAUUAGUGUACCUAACCUACGUGAUGUGAAUUGUCUACGGCGAAUUAUAAUAUUAUACUUAAACGGUCGUGCCAAAGUAUAAUCGUACCGCAAACAAGACGAUAUUGAACCAGUACUUCGGCUGUACCCUACAUUAUAAUAUGUAACGCGCGAGUAAUACCUUUAACAAUAAUAACACGGUGUAUUUUAGUUUUCAUCACUAUAGCGUUAUUACGAAAAUCGUUCGAAAAAGCGCAAGUUUCGUUCUCUUCUGGAUUUGUAAUGAUCGAAUUUUGAAAUAAUAUAUAUUACGGUCGGGGUUUCGUCCAGAUAAGGGGGUUCUUGUCUCAUGGUGAAUUUCGACAUUUCCUUCGGGACAUCCGCCUAUUUCGCGUCGCAUGAUAAAAACGAAAAUAAAAAUACAUCCUCAAAGUUUGAGGCCAUUUGAACAAUAUCUAGUAGAGACGCGCGGCAUAUUAACAUUUAAUAUCAAUAGGAUUGCACGAAAUCGAUGAAAAUAGUGUACAAACGACCAUAGGUCGUUUUGGGUUUGUUUUUGAAAAAAAAAAACAAAAAAAACAAAGGACCUGUUUUAAUCCUAAGAUCUUAAUUUCUUUUUUGAUGACACGGGGAUAAUAUGUUAACAAUUGAAGACGCUAUAAAACUAACAAGCUGUUUAUUAUUACAGCUAUGAGCUAUUUAUAUAUACGUCGAGUUUUACGAGAAUUUAAAGGGGACAAAAAUGAAUUUGUCAAGCGUUUUGUGUUACCGAGGUUCGAGUUAUUAUGCAAAUCGUGACUCGACUGUACUUUAUAAUUAUUAUAAAAGUUAAUCGAUUUUGAUAUGGAAAUAGUUAGUAAUUUCACAAAGAAAAUAUAUUAGUUUCAGUUGACUUCUGAAACUCUUGAACAAUCGAAUUCCCAUGCAUGUGGUGUCAAAAAGACAUCGAGAUCUCGGGAAUAAAAUAGGUCCUUUGGUUUUAAUUUUUAAUUUUUUUUAAAAAAAAAAAAAACAUUUCUAAACGAUCUGUAAUGGUUUGUACGUUAUUUUCAUCGAUUUCAAGCAACUUGUCUGUUUAUUAAAUAUUAAUACGCCGCGCGCCUCCACGAAAUAUUGUCCGAACGGCUUCAAACUCUGAGGAUGUGUGUUUGUACUGAACAACGCACACGGCAGACGUGUGUCCCAAAGGAAAUUGGCAAAACACGGGCCAUCCUAUAGUAAAAGUAUUAUAGGUAUAGAUCGUCAAAACGCCACCAUCGAAUGCUUAUCCGACAAUAAUAUGAUUACGUGUUGUACAGGUGUGUGGGUGUAGGCCGUCAGUGCGCGAUCGAACACGUCCUACAUUCGAUAAUGAUAGUAACAACAAUAACUAAUAACGCGUUUUUCCGCAAUAACAUUGUCACGUUGAUAUUAAACAUAUUAUAAUAAUAUUAUCAUACCCGAAGGUGUUACGCAUAUUAAAUAUAAUAUUGGACAUUAUAUCACAUACCUACUCGUUUACGGUGGAAAGAAGAACAAAAAAAAAAAAAAAACGAAAAAAAAAACUAGUUUGCAAAAACGACCUUGAACAUAACACCGUUAACACCGUCCGUCGGGGUCUUUGUUUCUAUUUAUUUUUAUCUCUCUCGCGCGUUUCCUCCAGCAGUCGUCGUGCCCAAUACCAGACGUACAACUCGAAAAUCGAAUUGCGCGGAUUAGCUGACGAUAAAAAAAAAUAACACGUAACCAUUAUCUAGCGGUGCUCGUGUAUGUUAUUGUAAAAGGCGAGUAAGAAAAUUAUAGUCAAAACUCUGUCGGCUGAACCAGUGGGAAACCACAUACGAAAACCGAUUCGCGUCCGUUCGGUUUAAAUAAUAAUAAUAAUAUGCCAAUGCGACGGAAAUUAUAAAAUCACUUAUGUGAGAAAAAAAGACACACACACACACAUAAUCGAUAAGAAUUUAUCGUCGUAUUUUCAUCACUCUUGUUUAAUAUUAUUAUAAAAUAUGCUUAGCGUGUUGAUUUUAUUGCAAUAUUAUAGCGAUACGCGUGUGUAAUGAAUUUACCCGUAUAAAAUAUAUUCUAAUAAAUAAUCGACAAGCACUAACAACAUUGAACAACGUAGAAGUUUUUUUUUUUUUAUACAUAUAUUAAAAUAUACGUAAAAACAGCUAAAAUAUUUGGGAAUUUUUUUUUUUUUUUUUUUUUUGAAAACGUUCGUACAAAGACCGUUUUAUUAAUAUAAUAUAUUAUAUUAUACGCGCGUACGCUCGGUUAACGCGACGCGAUGUCUCCUUGAACUUUUUUUUUUUACGGGGGAAUAGAAUACGUGCACGAAAACCGAAACCAGUACUUCUAAUACGCGAUCGUUAAAAUUUAACUAAAAAAAAAAAAAAAAAAAUCGCAGUUAAUUUUAUUCGGCGAUAAUGCGUAUCCGCGAAAAUGCAUUUCCGAAUCGGGCACGUCGGUACCUAAUAUAAUAUUGUGUACCGUGCCAACAAUAGACUGCCCGCGAUACGGCGCGCCAACACCCGCCGCAAUGGGUUUGUGCCGGCACAAGGGCACAAAUACACAAUGGUGCGUUAUCGUAACAUUAUCGGGCGAGUGAGAGACGUUCUCGCAAACGUUGCGCACGUUCAAGUUUGUUUGUUGGUUUUUUUUUUUUUUUUCUAACGCUCGCGUGAGACCCGAAAUGCAAAAAAACGCGUUUCAACCGCGCACUCGAAAUACUGUGAUAAUUAUUGUAAUAAACGCGGUGCGAUUCGCGGUAAUGUUAACACGGCGACGGUCUACAAUAUGUUAUUUCCCGAGCUUUCCGGUUUACAGGAUUCGGCGUGAGAAAAAAAAAAAAAAAAAAACGGAUAGCGCGCAGACGUUAAUUAUUAAACGGCGAGAAAACGAAAAAUAACAUAAUUACACACGGGCGAUAAGUGAAGGAAUAAAAUUUAAAAAAAAAAAAAAAACGAACGGUAUAAGAAUCUUAGGCACAAUAUUCAAUACUGAUAAUUUGUCAAUGUUAAUUACGGUUUACGAGCACAAUGGCGAAUAUUAAUUGAAAAUUCUUCGUUCCGUUAUCGGCCACUCUACGGUGCAUAAGUUCCACAGCCGUUCACAGUAUGGAUUUUAUCAAUAUUCGUAAACAAAUCGUUACUAAUAUUACUUGUAUUGCUGAUUUGGUCAACGCCCUUCGUUAAUAAAUUAAGAUUUUUGUUUUCAAUAAAAUCGGACUACUUUUGAUAAUUGUGUGUGGUUGGACAUUUUUAAAAAGAAAAAGAAAUCGGAGACUUAUUUUCUUUUUCUUCCGACUCCCGUUACAAAACAACUACGGAAAGCCGACGGUACGAUAGAGCCGCGUUAGAAGUAUGGAGUCGUCGGCCUUAGUAUAUAUUUAUAUACUAAGGAGGACGAAUAAUAAUUAUAUUGAUUAGACGGCACAGGAGAAAACUUGCGAUUCGUUUCGAACGGUUUUCAUAUUGUCGUCACGCGCGCACAUGUGCGUACAUUUUUUUUUUCCAAUCUUCGAACUAUUUAAACUCUUCGACAUUUUCAGUUCGAAUCCGUACGAGUAUUUUAUCAUUUAUCGAGACGCUCGGCCGGAUAAAUACUAACGUCAAAAGGCCCGCGGUUUUUGUCGAUUGUAAUUCGUUGGACGGCCGUAGGGGAGUUGCGUGACGCGCGCGUGCGUCGGCACGGGCACGGCGUAAUAUUAUGGUUUUCGGUUUUCACCCGCCCGCCCGACAACAAUAACGGUGUUUAACAUUGAAACGAAUAAUCUGAAUUCAAUCAAUGCAGCACCUCGUGUGCGCACCGUAUGCCGCGCGUAUUGCGGACAAAUAAUAAACGUACGCGUUUCAAUUUAUUAACAUUUCAUUGUUUCGUUUUUUAAUUGUGCGGUUUACCCGUUGGAUUUCUCUACGCGGCGGCAGGAUCGACAAUAACACAACUAUAGAAUAUACGUGUAUGUAUAUGUAUAAAAAAAAAAAAAAUGUGGGACAGCCGACGAUCGGUUCCGUCGACGGGCCCGUCGUUUUCGUCUCGUUUCGGUCCGCGGCCCGGGCACCGGACAGUCGCCUGCCGAGCCUACGGUGACGGCGGCGCGCCGUCGGAGUCGUUACGAAACGAAAAUUGAUCGCAUAAUUACUCGAGAAAAACACUUUCCAACGAACGCGUCGGAAUUUGAAUUAUUCGAUAAUCGUUUGCCGUUACGGUUCGUCUCUGUUUCUUCGUCCGUAAUAAUAAUAAUAAUAUUAUUUCCGACGCGGGAUGUCAGCAACCACGCAAAUAUUUGAGAAAAACGCGAGUAAAGGUCGGUUAAAAAAAUUAGAGUUUUUUUUUUUUUUUUUUUUUCGAAAUUUAAAUUUAAAAACGCCGCUCCGAGAUACCGUGUAGGACAGGCACACGCUUUCCCGUCAGUAUUCAACACUUCGGAGUUCCGUCCGAAACAGGUAGAUUGCGGUCAAUUUUUUCCAAAUAAAUUGUUUGAGAAAAAUAUUUCAAAAAAAAAAAAAAAUUUUUUGAGAAUUUUUACUUACCGAAAAAGUGUUUACACCAAUAACGCGCGCGUCUUUGUAAAAAAAAAUAAUAUGCCUGAUUUCCUCGUUUCAAGGUCAACAAUAAAAACGAAAAAAAUCAAAAAGUAAAUAAAUACCGACGUUUUUUUUUUUUUAUAGUAUACGGAUUUACCUGUUGGAUUUGCUGAAUGCGCGGUUAUCGAGAAAAAAGAAAAAAAAAAAAUUAUCCUCCGUAGUAAUCCUUUUACGAUAAUCGACCCGGCAAUCGUUGUUCGCUUUUUGCUGUGCACACUAACUGCGGUGACCGCGCGACGAGCCGAACUGAAACGCACAUACACGCGAAAUUUACGCAAGUACGUCUUAAUAUACU